This 1519-nucleotide ribosomal RNA is filed under the name metagenome. Its description in RNAcentral is "bacterial SSU rRNA". It matches the Rfam family "Bacterial small subunit ribosomal RNA". The record is from RNAcentral.
AGAGUUUGAUUCUGGCUCAGAACGAACGCUGGCGGCGUGUUUAAUACAUGCAAGUCGAACGAGAAAGUACCUUCGGGUACAAGUACAGUGGCGCACGGGUGAGUAAUGCAUAAGUAAUCUGCCUUAGUGUAGGGGAUAACUAACCGAAAGGUUAGCUAAUACCGUAUAAGACCACACUGACUCCGGUCAGAGAGGUUAAAGAUGCCCUCUGUUUACAUGGUGUUGCAUUAGGAUGAGCUUAUGUCCCAUUAGCUUGUUGGUAAGGUAACGGCUUACCAAGGCAGUGAUGGGUAGCUGGUCUGAGAGGAUGAUCAGCCACACUGGAACUGAGACACGGUCCAGACUCCUACGGGAGGCAGCAGUAGGGAAUAUUGCGCAAUGGGGGAAACCCUGACGCAGCGACGCCGCGUGAGUGAUGAAGGCCUUCGGGUCGUAAAGCUCUGUCAGCAGGGAAGAACCGGCACUACUUUAAUAGAGUAGAGCUCUGACGGUACCUGCAGAGGAAGCACCGGCUAACUACGUGCCAGCAGCCGCGGUAAUACGUAGGGUGCAAGCGUUGUUCGGAAUCACUGGGCGUAAAGGGCGUGUAGGUGGCUUAUUAAGUCGGAUGUGAAAUCCCAUGGCUCAACCAUGGAACUGCAUCCGAUACUGGUAAGCUUGAGUACGGUAGAGGGUAGCGGAAUUCCUAGUGUAGUAGUGAAAUACGUAGAUAUUAGGAGGAACACCGGUGGCGAAGGCGGCUACCUAGGCCUGUACUGACACUGAGACGCGAAAGCAUGGGGAGCAAACAGGAUUAGAUACCCUGGUAGUCCAUGCCGUAAACGAUGAAUACUAGAUGUCGUGGGUGAUAACCCCUACGGCGUCGCAGCUAACGCAGUAAGUAUUCCGCCUGGGGACUACGGUCGCAAGACUAAAACUCAAAGAAAUUGACGGGGGCCCGCACAAGCGGUGGAGCAUGUGGUUCAAUUCGAGGAUACGCGAAGAACCUUACCUGGACUUGACAUCCCUGGCUACUCAUAGAGAUAUGAGGUUGUUGCCUUCGGGUAACACCGGGUGACAGGUGCUGCAUGGCUGUCGUCAGCUCGUGUCGUGAGAUGUUGGGUUAAGUCCCGCAACGAGCGCAACCCUUGUCCUUAGUUGCCAGCAUUUAGUUGGGCACUCUAGGGAGACUGCUGGUGUUAAACCAGAGGAAGGUGGGGAUGACGUCAAGUCCUCAUGGCCUUUAUGUCCAGGGCUACACACGUGCUACAAUGGCUACUACAAAGGGCUGCAAACCCGCGAGGGGGAGCUAAUCCCAAAAAAGUGGCCUAAGUUCGGAUUGAAGUCUGCAAUUCGACUUCAUGAAGCUGGAAUCGCUAGUAAUCGCGGAUCAGAAUGCCGCGGUGAAUACGUUCCCGGGCCUUGUACACACCGCCCGUCACACCACGAAAGCUGGCUAGACCAGAAGUCGCCGAGCUAACCUUACGGAGGCAGGCGCCCAAGGUAGAGUUGGUGAUUGGGGUGAAGUCGAAACAAGGUA